UCCCUGGUGGUCCUGGCUAAGACUCUGCACUCCCAAUGCAGGGGGCCUGGGUUCAAUCCCUGGUCAGGGAA
RNAcentral lists this transfer RNA (71 nucleotides) under Bos taurus (domestic cattle). It matches the Rfam family "tRNA". Rfam says of the family: Transfer RNA (tRNA) molecules are approximately 80 nucleotides in length. The record is from Rfam by way of RNAcentral. RNAcentral also lists the same sequence under 4 other names. Lineage: Eukaryota; Metazoa; Chordata; Mammalia; Artiodactyla; Bovidae.